RNAcentral lists this unclassified non-coding RNA (253 nucleotides) under uncultured Alphaproteobacteria bacterium. RNAcentral describes it as "contains 16S-23S intergenic spacer region". It matches the Rfam family "Bacterial small subunit ribosomal RNA", at positions 524 to 776 of the family's 1533-position model. Lineage: Bacteria; Pseudomonadati; Pseudomonadota; Alphaproteobacteria. The record is from RNAcentral.
UACGAAGGGAGCUAGCGUUGUUCGGAAUCACUGGGCGUAAAGCGCACGUAGGCGGAUUUGUUAGUCAGGGGUGAAAUCCCGGGGCUCAACCUCGGAACUGCCUUUGAUACUGCAAAUCUCGAGUCCGAGAGAGGUGGGUGGAAUUCCUAGUGUAGAGGUGAAAUUCGUAGAUAUUAGGAAGAACACCGGUGGCGAAGGCGGCCCACUGGCUCGGUACUGACGCUGAGGUGCGAAAGCGUGGGGAGCAAACAGG